GAGCGGUGAUGACUCUUUACGUAGCUGCAACGAUGGGUGCUGUUGCAACCGUCUGAUAUCUAGACGAAGCUAGCGUAUCUGAGCUC
Molecule: small nucleolar RNA, 86 nt
Organism: Magnolia sinica
Lineage: Eukaryota; Viridiplantae; Streptophyta; Magnoliopsida; Magnoliales; Magnoliaceae
Product: small nucleolar RNA snoR114
Exons: 1
Source: RefSeq, a predicted model, not a curated record